Molecule: ribosomal RNA, 497 nt
Filed under: uncultured bacterium
Lineage: Bacteria
Description: partial 16S ribosomal RNA
Rfam family: Bacterial small subunit ribosomal RNA
Source: RNAcentral
GAUGAACGCUGGCGGCGUGCCUAAUACAUGCAAGUCGAGCGAACGGACGAGAAGCUUGCUUUUCUGAUGUUAGCGGCGGACGGGUGAGUAACACGUGGAUAACCUACCUAUAAGACUGGGAUAACUUCGGGAAACCGGAGCUAAUACCGGAUAAUAUUUUGAACCGCAUGGUUCAAAAGUGAAAGACGGUCUUGCUGUCACUUAUAGAUGGAUCCGCGCUGCAUUAGCUAGUUGGUAAGGUAACGGCUUACCAAGGCAACGAUGCAUAGCCGACCUGAGAGGGUGAUCGGCCACACUGGAACUGAGACACCGUCCAGACGCCUACGGGAGGCAGCAGUAGGGAAUCUUCCGCAAUGGGCGAAAGCCUGACGGAGCAACGCCGCGUGAGUGAUGAAGGUCUUCGGAUCGUAAAACUCUGUUAUUAGGGAAGAACAUAUGUGUAAGUAACUGUGCACAUCUUGACGGUACCUAAUCAGAAAGCCACGGCUAACUACGUG